This 343-nucleotide ribosomal RNA is filed under the name uncultured bacterium. Its description in RNAcentral is "bacterial SSU rRNA". It matches the Rfam family "Bacterial small subunit ribosomal RNA", at positions 30 to 372 of the family's 1533-position model. The record is from RNAcentral.
AUUGAACGCUGGCGGCAGGCCUAACACAUGCAAGUCGAGCGGUAGAGAGGUGCUUGCAUCUCUUGAGAGCGGCGGACGGGUGAGUAAUGCCUAGGAAUCUGCCUAGUGGUGGGGGAUAACGUUCGGAAACGGACGCUAAUACCGCAUACGUCCUACGGGAGAAAGCGGGGGGAUCUUCGGACCUCGCGCCAUUAGAUGAGCCUAGGUCGGAUUAGCUAGUUGGUGAGGUAAUGGCUCACCAAGGCGACGAUCCGUAACUGGUCUUAGAGGAUGAUCAGUCACACUGGAACUGAGACACGGUCCAGACUCCUACGGGAGGCAGCAGUGGGGAAUAUUGGACAAU